This 816-nucleotide long non-coding RNA is filed under the name Cyanistes caeruleus (blue tit). RNAcentral describes it as "lncRNA (ENSCCEG00000009325.1)". The record is from RNAcentral. Lineage: Eukaryota; Metazoa; Chordata; Aves; Passeriformes; Paridae.
CUGGAGAAGACUUUGAGGUGACCUAAUUGUGGCCUUCCAGCACUUGAAGGGAGCCUACUAGAAUGACAGACAUAAGCUUUUUAUGAGAGCAUGUAGUGACAUGACAAUGGGGGAUGGUUUAAAACUGAAAGAGAGUAGGCUUAGAUGACAUGUUAGGAAGAAAUUCCUAAUUGCUGGGGAGAAAUAGGUGAGGAACUGGAAGAGCCUGUCCAGAGAAGUUACAGAUGCCCAGUUCAAGGCCAGGUUGGAUGGGGCUCUGAGCAACCCAGACUAGUGGAAGGUGUCCCUGUCCAUGGCAGGUGGGUUGGAACUAGAUGAUCUCUAAGGGGUCUUCCAACCCAAGGCAUUCUGUGUUUCUAUGAUUCUCCCUUCCUUUAGACACUGCAGCAACUGCUCUUUUGAAUCACUUGUAGGGAUGGACCUGCAGGAAGCAGGUCCCCUCAAGUAUGUCUAACUUACCCUGCAUCUCUCCUCUACGGAACAAAGCCAGUUUCAGGCUAGGGCUCAUGCAGUGCUGUAGAGCCACAGGACCAAUGGAACUCCAUAGAACAGGAUCACUGCGUGUACAAAAAAAUAGGCUUUUGAAGAAAGGAAAUAAUCAAGAACAGAUAAGGAAUAUAUUCCAGGGGAAGCCUUAAGACGUGGGCAGCCUUGACUCCUCAGAAGGGAAGGGAGAUUUGCUGCUUAGCUAAGGUGCAAUCCAAGACAUCCGACUACAUCCCAGCAGGAUCACUAAGGCUCUGCGUCACCUUGGGAAGCUAAACAUCUCCAGUAUAACCUUGGCCCUAUUAAAAUAAACAGGCAGAAUUAUUCCCA